UACGGAAGGGGCAAGCGUUGUUCGGAGUCAUUGGGCGUAAAGGGCGCGCAGGUGGCUCUGUAUGUCUGCCGUGAAAGCAUACAGCUCAACUGUAUUGUGUCGGUAGAAACUGCAGGACUUGAGGCUGGGAGGGGCUGGUGGAAUUCCCUGUGUAGCGGUGAAAUGCGUAGAUAUCGAGAGGAACACCUGCGGCGAAGGCGGGUUGCUGGGCUGAUACUGACGCUGAGGCGCGAAAGCCAGGGGAGCGAACGGG
Molecule: ribosomal RNA, 253 nt
Filed under: uncultured bacterium
Lineage: Bacteria
Description: partial 16S ribosomal RNA
Rfam family: Bacterial small subunit ribosomal RNA
Source: RNAcentral